Molecule: ribosomal RNA, 469 nt
Filed under: uncultured bacterium
Lineage: Bacteria
Description: partial 16S ribosomal RNA
Rfam family: Bacterial small subunit ribosomal RNA
Source: RNAcentral
GACGAACGCUGGCGGCGUGCUUAACACAUGCAAGUCGAACGGAAAGGCCCUGCUUGCAGGGUGCUCGAGUGGCGAACGGGUGAGUAACACGUGGGUGAUCUUCCCCUUACUUUGGGAUAAGCCUGGGAAACUGGGUCUAAUACUGGAUAGGACCAUGCUGUAGGUGGUGUGGUGGAAAGAUUAGUUUCGGUAAGGGAUGAGCUCGCGGCCUAUCAGCUUGUUGGUGGGGUAAUGGCCUACCAAGGCGUCGACGGGUAGCCGGCCUGAGAGGGUGGACGGCAACAUUGGGACUGAGAUACGGCCCAGACUCCUACGGGAGGCAGCAGUGGGGAAUAUUGCACAAUGGGCGCAAGCCUGAUGCAGCGACGCCGCGUGGGGGAUGACGGCCUUCGGGUUGUAAACUCCUUUCAGCCAUGACGAAGCCCUUGUGGUGACGGUAGUGGUAGAAGAAGCACCGGCUAACUACGUG